Molecule: ribosomal RNA, 507 nt
Filed under: uncultured bacterium
Lineage: Bacteria
Description: partial 16S ribosomal RNA
Rfam family: Bacterial small subunit ribosomal RNA
Source: RNAcentral
GACGAACGCUGGCGGCGUGCCUAAUACAUGCAAGUCGAACGCAUUUUCUUUCACCGUAGCUUGCUACACCGAAAGAAAAUGAGUGGCGAACGGGUGAGUAACACGUGGGUAACCUGCCCAUCAGCGGGGGAUAACACUUGGAAACAGGUGCUAAUACCGCAUAAUUCCAUUUACCGCAUGGUAGAUGGAUGAAAGGCGCUUUUGCGUCACUGAUGGAUGGACCCGCGGUGCAUUAGCUAGUUGGUGGGGUAACGGCCUACCAAGGCUGCGAUGCAUAGCCGACCUGAGAGGGUGAUCGGCCACACUGGGACUGAGGCACGGCCCAGACUCCUACGGGAGGCAGCAGUAGGGAAUCUUCGGCAAUGGACACAAGUCUGACCGAGCAACGCCGCGUGAGUGAAGAAGGUUUUCGGAUCGUAAAACUCUGUUGUUAGAGAAGAACAAGGAUGAGAGUGGAAAGUUCAUCCCUUGACGGUAUCUAACCAGAAAGCCACGGCUAACUACGUG